RNAcentral lists this ribosomal RNA (451 nucleotides) under uncultured bacterium. RNAcentral's name for it is "partial 16S ribosomal RNA". It matches the Rfam family "Bacterial small subunit ribosomal RNA", at positions 354 to 796 of the family's 1533-position model. The record is from RNAcentral.
GUGGGGAAUAUUGGACAAUGGGCGGAAGCCUGAUCCAGCCAUGCCGCGUGUGUGAAGAAGGCCUUUUGGUUGUAAAGCACUUUAAGCGAGGAGGAGGCUCUUAAGGUUAAUACCCUUGAUGAGUGGACGUUACUCGCAGAAUAAGCACCGGCUAACUCUGUGCCAGCAGCCGCGGUAAUACAGAGGGUGCGAGCGUUAAUCGGAUUUACUGGGCGUAAAGCGUGCGUAGGCGGCUGAUUAAGUCGGAUGUGAAAUCCCUGAGCUUAACUUAGGAAUUGCAUUCGAUACUGGUCAGCUAGAGUAUGGGAGAGGAUGGUAGAAUUCCAGGUGUAGCGGUGAAAUGCGUAGAGAUCUGGAGGAAUACCGAUGGCGAAGGCAGUCCCCUGGGCCUGUACUGACGCUCAUGCACGAAAGCGUGGGGAGCAAACAGGAUUAGAUACCCGUGUAGUCC